Non-coding RNA from Mycena latifolia, 92 nucleotides. Lineage: Eukaryota; Fungi; Basidiomycota; Agaricomycetes; Agaricales; Mycenaceae. The record is from the annotation of a GenBank genome assembly.
GACCUAAUGGCGAAACGGUAUCGCGUCCGCACUUCACCAUUCUGUUAUCGACUUUGCUGCGGAAGUCCCUGGUUCAACUCCAGGGUAGGUCA